This 497-nucleotide ribosomal RNA is filed under the name uncultured bacterium. Its description in RNAcentral is "partial 16S ribosomal RNA". It matches the Rfam family "Bacterial small subunit ribosomal RNA", at positions 28 to 507 of the family's 1533-position model. The record is from RNAcentral.
GAUGAACGCUGGCGGCGUGCCUAAUACAUGCAAGUCGAGCGAACAGACGAGGAGCUUGCUCCUCUGACGUUAGCGGCGGACGGGUGAGUAACACGUGGAUAACCUACCUAUAAGACUGGGAUAACUUCGGGAAACCGGAGCUAAUACCGGAUAAUAUAUUGAACCGCAUGGUUCAAUAGUGAAAGACGGCUUUGCUGUCUCUUAUAGCUGAAUCCGCGCCGCAUUAGCUAGUUGGUAAGGUAACGGCUUACCAAGGCAACGAUGCGUAGCCGACCUGAGAGGGUGAUCGGCCACACUGGAACUGAGACACGGUCCAGACUCCUACGGGAGGCAGCAGUAGGGAAUCUUCCGCAAUGGGCGAAAGCCUGACGGAGCAACGCCGCGUGAGUGAUGAAGGUCUUCGGAUCGUAAAGCUCUGUUAUUAGGGAAGAACAAAUGUGUAAGUAACUAUGCACGUCUUGACGGUACCUAAUCAGAAAGCCCCGGCUAACUACGUG